RNAcentral lists this long non-coding RNA (975 nucleotides) under Physcomitrium patens. RNAcentral's name for it is "long non-coding RNA (PPAT_LNC000753)". The record is from RNAcentral. Lineage: Eukaryota; Viridiplantae; Streptophyta; Bryopsida; Funariales; Funariaceae.
UAUUGAAAAUCACUUUAUACAUGAUUGAAUGAUUGCAAUCUGAAUGUAGUCAAUGACUGUAGUAGAACUCAGAAUAAAUCAAACAAAUCUUCCAAAAGAGAUGUGAUUUUAAACAGGAUAUGUGAUUCAAAACAUUAACUAACUAUUCACAUUCACCAUGUUGAGUUCCUACUAAAAGAACAAAAUUUCAAAUGCAAUGAUCAAACCUGCAGUCUCUUAAUGUGAAGCAUAGUAGAAGUGAACAUAUUAUGACCUCAAGUUCCAAAAAAAUAUAAUAAACAUCUAUCUAUAUGUAUGUACAUGUAGUCCAAGCAAUAGUUGUUUGCGCUGAAGCUUCAAAAUGGGCCACAAAGUAUUGAGAGCUGGUGGAAGGGUCUUUUCAGAUGGCUUGCCAAGUAGAAUCAUUAUGGUAGCUAAAGGAGACAUGUGGAACUUUAGGUAGGGAUACUUUCUAAUGAGGUUGUUUGAAAGCAAUUUGUUGCAACAUGUUUGAGCACCCACGAAAAAAAAAUUAAAAAAAAAAAAAAAAAAACACAAAAACACAAAAACACAAAACAAAACAAAACAAAAUAAUCUGUUGAAGAAAUGUUCACCCUAUAGCCAAUGGAUAUUUUUCAUCCAGGUUUUUUCACAACCUGUGAAAGCCCUUCCUCUGAUAAUAGGAGGCAACUGAUCAUUUAAUUAAUAAUAAAUAAAUAAUAAUAAUAAUAAUAAUAAACAUUAAUGGGAUUUGUUGGUGUGGGUACAGCACAUCUUGAGUUACCUCUUCUGGUACUGAAGACAAGGCAGCAUGGUUUGACUUGAAACUUGUGACAGGAGUGUCAAAUGAUGCAGACACAUAUACAUGUAGUGUGCUUGUGGGAUUAAACUCUGCCCUAUUCAAUACACACACUCACACACACAUGGAGAAUGAGCAAGACAGACAGACAGACACACACACACACACACACACACACACCCUGAGAGAAGUUUGUU